Long non-coding RNA from Marmota monax (woodchuck), 1746 nucleotides. RefSeq lists it as uncharacterized. NCBI's taxonomy places the organism in Eukaryota, Metazoa, Chordata, Mammalia, Rodentia, Sciuridae. The record is from RefSeq and is a predicted model, not a curated record. The transcript has 3 exons.
CCUCACCCAUGUUAGGCAAGUGCUCUACCACUGAGCUAUUAUGUGUGAAAUUUGAUUUUUUCUGUAUGUCAAAAUCAUUUAAAUGUGCCAGGGGAAAUUUAGUGUAAUCUUUUUCUUUCCUUCUUUCUUUUCUUUUUUUAUUGCCUUCUUUCUGCUUUCCAUGUAAAUAUAUUGCUCUUCUUUAAAAGUUUCGUUCAAACUUUCUAACAUUCAUAGAACAGCUUCCACAUAUCAAGCAUGUGAAGCAGUGAUAAUGGUUGGAAGGAGCAAGAUACUAGUCUGCUUUGGUCCCUGCCCCCAUCUAGUCAGGACCACAGGCUUGAAGACACCUGACGCAGCAGAAUGCACCCUGCAAAAUGUGUGGCUGUCCUUUAUGGAUUCCUGAGAAUUUGACCUAAGACUCAUCACUCAAGCAAGCCCGAGCCAGGGUAGAAGGAUGCCAGGCUGAGAUGAAGAGUCUGCCCUUUCUGCCUAGUAGCAUUGAAGGAGAGGAAGAGGAGGAGAAAGGACGAAGACAAAGAGAAGGAGAGGAAGAAGGAAGAGGAGAGGGAGCAGGUGAUGGUGAUGCAGGAAGAAGAACUUGCUACUUGGUGCCCAAUUACAAUGUUGAGAAAAAAGAAAAUUGAGCUCUCCUGAAGGUCCACUAUGUGCCAGGCAUCAUGCCUAAACCUAUCAUGUGGUUCAUCUGUGUGCACACACACGUCCAUCUUGAUGCUAGAGUCGGGAAGCAGCUUUUGAUUUUUAAAAAAUGCUUAAACUCAUUUCACUUGGAGAUGAAUGUCUACCUUUUCUAUCAUCUAUAGAUAAGCUAGACAUUUUGAGGGUAUCUUUGUCUUUUGUUUUUUCUCAAAGUGGAGGCCCUAAUUAAAUAGAAGAUGGAUUUUAGAAAUUGUUCUGGGAGGAUAUAAGCUUUGUUUCAUCCACAACCCAGUUGUGCCCUGGCAGUGGGGUAGGUUGCAGACAGGACAAAGAAAGUGCCCAAAGGAAGCUUUGGAAACAUGUGGUUUUCUGGUGGAAGCUUACAAGAGGUCCCUGACUAUUCCAAGAAGAAUUUAGUCGUGACAUUGUGACAGCACCUCUGUCCCCCAGGGUGCUUUGCCAAGAAACACAUUCUCUCUCUCAUGAUGUUUUGGUCAAUGGCAGCAGACUGGAUGGGUGACGUAUCCCCUUUCCACAGAGCCCUCAGCUCCGUGCCCAUCUUCACUCAGAGAGGGGUUUUUAUAUGUUAGGCUGCAGAAGCCGUGACAUCGUCAGCAUUAGUGAGCUUAGUUUGCUUGUCUGACCAGCAUUCCAAGGAGCAAUUCUCCCAGCAUACAUGUAAGAAAGUAGCUUUCUACAGAUAACAUGGACUUUCCCUGGGUCCCAGUGUGCAUGAGACAGUGUUCUUCAAGAUAAUAUGUAUCUGGGCUUUCUGAUCCAGGCUUGCUCUCAUUGUUCCCUUAACUUGGCUAGGAUUUUUGGAAACAGAAAGGAAGCAUUCAGUACAUGGUGUUUUACUGUUCCCCUUUGCUUUAGGGAUGGUACAAUCUUCAACGUUGAAAAUCCUUUGCAAUCCCAUUCCCUAGAAGGGAUGGCUCUUCCCUGUAGUGGAAGUGUCUCUGGAAAGCCAUGUUUUUCUAACUGUGGCAUCUCUUCUAGGCCUGGGAUUCUCUGUCUCUUGUUUCACACUUGGCAGGAUGCUUUGUCACUACAUAAAGCUGUUCUCUAUGAUGCCAUCUGGGAAUAAUAAAUGCAACUAUAGUUUUA